Molecule: ribosomal RNA, 1105 nt
Filed under: uncultured bacterium
Lineage: Bacteria
Description: bacterial SSU rRNA
Rfam family: Bacterial small subunit ribosomal RNA
Source: RNAcentral
UUAAAAAAAGCCUUUCGGGUUGUAAAGUACUUUCAGCAGUGAGGAAGGUGGGUAUGUUAAUAGCAUAUUCAUUUGACGUUAGCUGCAGAAGAAGCACCGGCUAAUUCCGUGCCAGCAGCCGCGGUAAUACGGAGGGUGCGAGCGUUAAUCGGAAUUACUGGGCGUAAAGCGCAUGCAGGUGGUUUGUUAAGUCAGAUGUGAAAGCCCGGGGCUCAACCUCGGAAUUGCAUUUGAAACUGGCAAACUAGAGUACUGUAGAGGGGGGUAGAAUUUCAGGUGUAGCGGUGAAAUGCGUAGAGAUCUGAAGGAAUACCGGUGGCGAAGGCGGCCCCCUGGACAGAUACUGACACUCAGAUGCGAAAGCGUGGGGAGCAAACAGGAUUAGAUACCCUGGUAGUCCACGCCGUAAACGAUGUCUACUUGGAGGUUGUGGCCUUGAGCCGUGGCUUUCGGAGCUAACGCGUUAAGUAGACCGCCUGGGGAGUACGGUCGCAAGAUUAAAACUCAAAUGAAUUGACGGGGGCCCGCACAAGCGGUGGAGCAUGUGGUUUAAUUCGAUGCAACGCGAAGAACCUUACCUACUCUUGACAUCUACAGAAGCCAGCGGAGACGCAGGUGUGCCUUCGGGAACUGUAAGACAGGUGCUGCAUGGCUGUCGUCAGCUCGUGUUGUGAAAUGUUGGGUUAAGUCCCGCAACGAGCGCAACCCUUAUCCUUGUUUGCCAGCACUUCGGGUGGGAACUCCAGGGAGACUGCCGGUGAUAAGCCGGAGGAAGGUGGGGACGACGUCAAGUCAUCAUGGCCCUUACGAGUAGGGCUACACACGUGCUACAAUGGCGCAUACAGAGGGCGGCCAACUUGCGAAAGUGAGCGAAUCCCAAAAAGUGCGUCGUAGUCCGGAUUGGAGUCUGCAACUCGACUCCAUGAAGUCGGAAUCGCUAGUAAUCGUGGAUCAGAAUGCCACGGUGAAUACGUUCCCGGGCCUUGUACACACCGCCCGUCACACCAUGGGAGUGGGCUGCAAAAGAAGUGGGUAGUUUAACCUUCGGGAGGACGCUCACCACUUUGUGGUUCAUGACUGGGGUGAAGUCGUAACAAGGUAACCG